This 209-nucleotide ribosomal RNA is filed under the name uncultured bacterium. RNAcentral's name for it is "partial 16S ribosomal RNA". It matches the Rfam family "Bacterial small subunit ribosomal RNA", at positions 28 to 224 of the family's 1533-position model. The record is from RNAcentral.
GACGAACGCUGGCGGCGUGCUUAACACAUGCAAGUCGUACGACAGCAUUUCCUUUUAGGUUGUGUUUGGAGUGGCGAACGGGUGAGUAACACGUGAGUGACCUGCCCUUCACUUUGGGAUAACGUGCGGAAACGUGCGCUAAUACCAAAUAUUCGCAUUUCUGCUGCAUGGUGGGGUGUGGAAAGGGGCCUUCGGGUUCGUGGUGGGGG